AGGGUUGUUGAUUAUUGUAUAUUUAUAUAUUUGAAUAUGUAAGCUCAUACAAGUACGUUGGUUUAAUGUUGAUAUUUGGUAUGGAACUAUGGAACUAACAAUAUUAGACACUACUUAUCUCAGGUUGUGUGUUGUAUUUUUGAUAUUUGAUUAGGUACAUACUAUUUUUUUUUAUACGUAUCUUUUAUUAUCUGGUUAUGAGAUUUGUCAUAUUGGAAAGAUGGGGUGGUUCUUAAUUAGAUAUUGGUUUACUUUAUCAACAUUUGUCACAGAUAUCCUAAAUACUUUAUAAUAAUUUAUAUCCUUAUGCCCUACACAGUAUGAUUCUGGAAUUAGUUUGGAAUUCUGAUGUAUGUAUGGAUUUCUUCUUAAGAACUAGUCUGCCAAUGCUCUGUAAUGUGGGUUCCUAGGUAACCUAGUGAAUGCGUGGGUUCGAAAUUCAGCAACUGAUCACUGCUAUCCGAUUUCGUAACCUAUGUUUUCAUAGCAGAGUACGCAGAUGUUUAUCCAUCAAAAUAUUUCUGGUCAGGAAAUGUUGGCCACAUGUCCUGACCAUCCUUGUGUAAUUAUUCCAGUUACAUUUUUUAGCAUUUGAUAGGGAAUAUUUAGUUUAUAUUAUGUCCCGUACUUUAUAGGUAGUAGGUUCCUUUUAGUAUUUGAGGUGUUUGGACAAAUGAAUUGCUUAUUUUAGUAGAUUCCCUCUUCUUUCCUGAGGCAUUAGUUUUGUUGUUGAGAUUCAGGAAUAUUUCCUGGAUAAUUCUAUGUAUGCGAGAACGUAUGAAUCUACAGUUUUAUUCAAAAUUGGUUGCUCGUUCCCGUCAUAUUAUUUUUUUCUAUCAUUUAUUAUGGUGUCAUAGAACUUGUAAGUUCACCAUUUAGAUUUUAUUAUUACAAUUGGUACGUUAUCUGUAUUUCUUAUUCCCAUGCAUCUAUUGUAGCUACAUGCUAUAGCUAGUGAACAACAGCACGGACCAAUUUUAGUUAGUCAACGACUUACUUUAGUCGAUAGACCUAAUUUAGUUUAUUUAGUAUUAGUGAGAAUUGGUACACAAAUCUUCCUGAUCGUUCUUCUUUGGAUAUGCUCAUAUAAAUCUGGUGUCCAUUGAUAGUCCGAUUUUGGUCCGAUUCCACAUUUAUUUUGAUUAAUGAGUUUUUGGAUAACUUUGAUAUGCUUACUCUUUGUAUUAUUUGGCACUGGUGAGAAUUGUUCCAUAAAUAUUCCUGAUUGUUCUGCUCUGGACAUGCUAUUAUGAAUCUGGUGUCCAUUGGUAGUUCAAUUUUGGAUUAAGUGUUCGAUUCGUCACUGAUUUUAGUUUUGAUUUCUUUUGUCUUACUUUAGUAUAUUUAUUUGGGUUAUGGUGCGAAUUGACUCAUACCUUUGCCUGGUUGUUCGUCCUUGGAUAUACCCUUUUUAAAUUUGAUGUCCAUGGAUAGUUCAAUUUUGGAUUUAGUGCCUGUUCGAUAUUUAUUUAUCAUUACGAACUUUAGUAUAUUAUUUAGCUUAUGUUUUGGUUUACAGACAAAAUGUCGAUGACAUUUUAAUAUGACUUCGAGUCAUCUUUGGCGAUUCAUAGUUUUGGUGUAGUGAUCAUCCUUCUUUCCCUGAUCCUUAAUUUGUGGUUACUUGUAAUCUUGCGGAUCAACGUAGAAUGAUAGAUUAUUACCACUUGGUUAUUAAUAUUUUGAAUUAAAAAAAAAUUUUUUUGCUUAAAAUUUUUUUCUCCGAGUAGAAGAGGAAUAUAACAUUCCGUUAAUUUCUAAUUAUCUUUAUAGUUAUUUUAUUUAAAAUUUAAUAACGGUUUGUCAUUAUGUCAUUAAGUUAUACUCAAAAUCAAUAAGAUCUAAUUAAAAUAAAUCUUUGACUGACGUCAUACUUAACUAGUAGUUGGCACGAGUUCUUCAGUUGGUAUUAGACACCAUUCGCUGUCAUGUAAGUUUGUUCUGUGAGGCUCCUCGUCUAACGACGGGAAAUAAUUGACACUUCGCUUGGUUAGCUAGAACGGAACGGCAGAUGGUUGAUCGGAAAUUACGGGAAUUUUAAUACGGAGUUUCAAGCUUCUAUAAGUAUUUAGUGGAAAAAUUAAUAGUGUUGUUGUUUGGAAGAGCUAGGAGACAAAGUUUGGAAGAUCCCGUAGAAAUUGAAGUCACACCAUCUGCCGUUUGGGUGAAAUUAUAAAGUAACCAGUCCAUCAGCUCCCCUAACAACCGGGAGCAACCGUUCUAGGCCAAGCCAGGUCACUUGGAGACCAGCCUGGAGAAUCUCCUCCCACGUAGCGUUGAAUUCUGCACUUCGCCCCGAAGGGCACCUUGAAUAAUUAGUACACGCUAGCACCAUCCCUGUGCUAAUUCUUCUACCAGGGAUUUCGGUAUCCAUAACAAGGACACUUUUGGGAACCAUAAUAUAGGGUUUGUUUUGGGGACACUUGGUACUUAUUUGCAAGUGAUUAUUACUCUACCAUCACAACACGUUAAUAUUUUUGUGUAAUAAUCAGGACAUUUAGUUCAAACUAAGUUUUAUAGUUUAAUCACACAUAUUUUUGUUUCAAGAUUUAGGUUGCAUUUUUUUUUUCAUAUUAUUAUAUCUAUAAUUUUUGAUAGUGUUUCCCAAACCAGUAAACUCUCUGGUCAAGGAGGUUUGAGCUCAGAUCAUCUUUUCCCUCAUAUGAGAUUCUCUUUACCUUUGUAUUAUAUUACCUGAAAUUUACUUGUACCAUUUAUUUAUUUAAUUAACUUUAUAUUUUUUUUGUUACUAACCUUGCUAGUCUCCACUUAUCAAUUUAAAUUUAUAUAUUUUAUUCUUUAUUGCUAAUUUAUUAACUUAUAUAACUUUAACGUACUUUAGCCAAUCAUUCUAAUUAAUUAAACUUAUUUGCUUAACUUUUUACUUAAAUUCAUUUUUUUAACUUUUAAUUAUAUCCCUGGACGCUAUUCCCUUUGAAUAGCUAUCCAUUUUACUUGUGAUAAAUUUUUAGUGACUACGCGUCGAAGCAACUGAUUUUUAUAUAUCAAGUAGACCGUAGAUCACAUUAAGGAGGCUGGUGCCUAUUUAACUCUUUGAGAGUUUAUAUUAUUGUUCAUUCGUUUGUAGUUUAGCGUUGCUGUACGUAUUUUAAUCGUACAAUUAUUUGGUGAAGGUUGUUAUUUAACCUAGUAUAUGUAAGUUGGGGGUAUGCUUCCUAGAAAAGCUACUCCAAUACUAAUUUAAUAGGUAAUUAUAUUUAUACUUAGAUAGGUAAUUAUUUCCCAUUGUCAUUUUAUAGUUACAUAAUUUGUAUUUUUCUAACUCAGAGGUUGUCAAAAAUCUAAGUAGUUAUAUUUAAUAAAUAUUUAUUUGUUUUUGUA
RNAcentral lists this long non-coding RNA (3342 nucleotides) under Diabrotica virgifera virgifera (western corn rootworm). RNAcentral's name for it is "uncharacterized LOC126888093". The record is from RNAcentral. Lineage: Eukaryota; Metazoa; Arthropoda; Insecta; Coleoptera; Chrysomelidae.